Molecule: non-coding RNA, 71 nt
Organism: Aphelenchus avenae
Lineage: Eukaryota; Metazoa; Nematoda; Chromadorea; Rhabditida; Aphelenchidae
Source: the annotation of a GenBank genome assembly
GUGACCGUGGCUCAGCGGCAGAGCACUCAACCGGGAACUUAGAGUCACCGGUUCGAAUCCGGCAUGUGAUG